RNAcentral lists this long non-coding RNA (713 nucleotides) under Struthio camelus australis. RNAcentral describes it as "lncRNA (ENSSCUG00000005126.1)". Lineage: Eukaryota; Metazoa; Chordata; Aves; Struthioniformes; Struthionidae. The record is from RNAcentral.
CUCCCCGUCUCCUUUUCUCCCCCCCUCUGUCUCUUUAUAUUACAAAUAAUGUCUCUGGAAUAAUACGUGACCUCACCCAGCUCGAAGUGCAGGAGCCAUGCCUUUAUUUCAAGGUAAGCUCUUGCUUUCGCUUGCUGCUGGUGGAGAUGGUGGAUGCGCUGCGCUCUCGCUCGCUUUCCAAAAGUAGGUAACGCCGGGUUUGCUUUUUGGCAUUGUUCGUCCCUACCUAGCGCAGGCAGCCAGGCGCUCGCUGCUACCUGUUGGGGGGACGGCGGGGGCUCUUGGCGUUUUCCAUGAUACUUCCAGGAGACAAUCCCCCCUCCCGCUGCUGUCAACUGGUGCUGCCUCCUUCCUUUUUCUCUCCUCCAGCAAUUUGGUCUCCGUGGACAUUUCCUCUCCUCCCUUCUCCCAAGGCUUUUGUUUUGUCUUCGCUGCCAGGGAUGCUCUGGGUUUUUUCUAUGCUGCUGCUUCGGGCAAGCCGUGGUUUGGAGACCUACUGGGAAAGGAGCCGGCGGCAGGGUGGAGAGAAAGAGUGAUGAACUGCAACAGCGCCAAAGAUGCUCGGAUUCAGCACGUGCUCCCUCAGCGCUCACACGCUCCCCGAGGCCAGCGCCCUGGCACCGGGCCGGGCGGCUGAGCUGGACGCCGGCUCCCAGCGCUACGUCCUGGCCCUGCCCGAGGAGGAGACGUGGCGCAAGCACCGGCUCGGCCUC